This 252-nucleotide ribosomal RNA is filed under the name uncultured bacterium. RNAcentral's name for it is "partial 16S ribosomal RNA". It matches the Rfam family "Bacterial small subunit ribosomal RNA", at positions 524 to 775 of the family's 1533-position model. The record is from RNAcentral.
UACGUAGGGUGCGAGCGUUGUCCGGAAUUAUUGGGCGUAAAGGGCUCGUAGGCGGUCUGUCGCGUCAGGAGUGAAAACUCGGGGCUUAACCCCGAGCCUGCUUCUGAUACGGGCAGACUAGAGGUAUGCAGGGGAGAACGGAAUUCCUGGUGUAGCGGUGAAAUGCGCAGAUAUCAGGAGGAACACCGGUGGCGAAGGCGGGUCUCUGGGCCGUAACUGACGCUGAGGAGCGAAAGCGGUGGGAGCAACAGG